Molecule: long non-coding RNA, 2184 nt
Organism: Artibeus jamaicensis (Jamaican fruit-eating bat)
Lineage: Eukaryota; Metazoa; Chordata; Mammalia; Chiroptera; Phyllostomidae
Exons: 3
Source: RefSeq, a predicted model, not a curated record
GCACUUUGACGGAUUCAGUGCCCGCCCAGAAAAUCCGGGACAACCUCCCCAUUUCAAGCUUUUUAGCCUGAAUCACAGCUGCAAGAUCGCUCUCGCCAUGCCAGGUCACUGCCCUGAAAGAAAGCUGUGCAGGCAGCCCGCCCUCUUCGGGUGUGUGGCCGGGACCUCCCACUCUGUCUCCAUCCGCGCCUCGUCUGUAAACCAGGGGGGCUGUGAUCUCCUUGAGGGACACCAUCUUUGAGCCACCAGAACCCAGCAAAGCCUGAUCUGAGAGAGAAGCUCAAGGAGUGAUCGUGGAACUGAAGAGAAUAAAGAGCCAUCUCCUGACCUUUCUGUUCUCCAAUUCGGUAACAAGGGUAGUUGGCCAUGACAUCAUCAGUGACACGGUGGGGUUUCCCCUGAGGCUGCCCAUGUGGGUUCAAGGCUAAGGUGGCAUUUCUUUCUCAGCUCUACUCUGUGCUGUUUAAAUGCCCCAAGUACUGUCUUCAUCCAGUAACUGUAAAGAAAGUUCAGAUAUUUAGCCGUGGUGUGCUGCUCUGUUUUCCUGGGGCAGCAGCUCGUGGGCCUGCCGGCAGGUGUCACAUUAAUUCAUUAAUUCGGGACAGGAAGCAGAAGGGCGGCCGGCAAAACAGCGAGGCAGGUUGGCACGGCGGCUCUGCCCACGCAGAGGGGCUGGCUCAGCAGAGCCCAUUCGGCGCAUUUAAUCCCACUGAAAACCUGGCAGUUAAAGAGAUGAUGUCAUCGGAAUCAAUUAUCCCCACAAUUGCCAGAGCUGGGUGGAAAUAACUCAAGAAAUUGAUGCGUAGUAACCGCACACCAUUCAUUGAGGGGCUGCCUGCCUGCCCGCCAGUGUGCCGGCGGCCUGGUUUAUGUGAACCCACUGAAACCUCACAGCAGCCCUGAGGGAAGUGACCAUCAUAACCACCCUCUUCUUACAGGUGAGACAACGGAGGCUCGGGGGAGGAGAAGUGUGGUAGGCUGAGUAACGGCCCCCAGGGAGGUCAGGUCCUAAUCCUCGGAACCUCUCGGUGUGACCUCGCUUGGGGAAGGGGUCUUGGCAGCUGUGAUUAAGUGAAGAAUCUUGAGAUGGAGAGUUUAUCCUGUAUUAUCGGAGGCGGCUCCGAAUGCCACGAUGCCAUCGCAAGUGUCCUGAUUGGACAGAUGCAGAGGGCAACUUCACACACAGAGGACGAGGCCGUGUGAAGACAGAUGCGGAGACUGGAGGGAUGCAGCCACAAGCCAAGAACGCCUGCGGCCACCAGAAGCCAGAAGCAAGAAGAGAUUUUCCUCCUCUAGAGCACGGGCGGCGAACACAAGGCCCGAGGGCCGAAUCUGGCCCGACACCUUGUUUCUACUGGGCAGCAGCAAGAGCUCCUUGCCCCUAGUUAAGGCAUAGUUACAUUUAUACAGUCCUAAAGUUACAGUCAGCCCUUUGAAGGCACCCGGGAGGCUGAUGUGGCCCCUGGUGAAAGUGAGUUUGUCACCCCUGCGAGUCUAGAGUCUUUCAAGGGAGUCAGCUCGGCAGAUUUGAUUUUGUUCCAGCGAAACGGAUUUGGACUUCCAGCUUCCAGAACUGUGGGAGAAUAGGCCAGUAGUUUUAAUCCAUUAAGUCAGUAGUCAUUGUUACAGCAGCCACAGGAAACUCCUGCAGGAAGUGACUUGUCCACAGCCUCGCAGCUAGAAAGUGGAGACAUUGGGCUCUAAACAUAGGCAGUGCUCCAUAAAUGUUACCUGUUAUUACAUUAUUACUAUGUUGCAUGUGGGGCAGCUGAGUAACAGGAUGACAUGUUAAAAGGACCAUGAACCUGGCCUAGUUUGUUCAUUCCAACAGACACUGUUGGGGAGAGACAGGAUGAGUAACCAGGGUUUAAUGAUUCAGUUUGGGGAGAAGCUAUUAACAGUGGGUGGAGCUGGUUCAGGAACGUGAUGCAACUUUGAAGCAUGAUCACCCCAUCCUCACUGAGUCAGUUCCAACUGGUAGAAGUAACUCUACCGGCCAAGCUGGUCCUGCACCAAUGGGAGCGGGUUUGCAGCUGAUGGAGCAAGUGUGAUGGCCCAACAACCCAAACGGAUAAAGUGGCUUCUCUGUGUCUGGCGGCAUCUCCCCCACAACACUGUUUAUUGUCUAAUGACUCUAAUCCUUUGUCCUCCCUGGUCCAGACUAGACACUCAAUAAAUAUCUGU